Eublepharis macularius is the source of this 2100-nucleotide long non-coding RNA. RefSeq lists it as uncharacterized. The record is from RefSeq and is a predicted model, not a curated record. Lineage: Eukaryota; Metazoa; Chordata; Lepidosauria; Squamata; Eublepharidae. The transcript has 3 exons.
CCUGUUGCAGUUCAGGAAUGCAGGUCAAGGGAGAGAGAAUCAAAGCGGUUCUUUCUUCUUUGAUUUUGAAACCAUCCAGGCUGUUCUGCUGGGGAAAUUCCCCAAGUGCACUUCUCAGAGCUCCCCAGAACCCCCCCCCCACUCCAUGAUGCAUUUUAAUAUCCCAGAGAAAUGGGUCGGAGCAGCCUGGAUUUCCCCGGCUUUGGCUCUUGCAUCAUUCAGGACUGGAGCCAAGCUCUCUCUCGGCACCAAACGGGCAGCAGCAGCAGCAGCAGCAUCACACUUGCUUCCUCCCCACCAGCAGGAUCCAAGCGGCACUGCCUGGGAUGUGCCCGGGUCCUCCCGCUGGAUCACGCAACAGCUGGAGGGGGCAAGGCGUGACUCACCCGUGGCUGGAUGCGAGCUGUAGAACUGAGUCAUGGUCAGGGAUUUUUUUCUAAGAAAACAGGUGGCAGAACUCUCAAGAGGGAAAUGGGGAAGAAACACACGGGAUUCUUUGAAAUAAUAUUAUUUUCACGCACGAUUGCCGAGUAUUUUCAAGAGAUGCCGGAACUCCAUUCCAUCGUGUUCCUGCUGAAAAAAAGCCCUGCCCACAGUGCUCACGGCUGGCCACUGUCUCGUCUCCACACUGACUGCUGGUCAAUUGAGCAUCAGCUCACAGCUAGAGCUUAGCUAACUUUCGGGAUAUUUGAGUCCAAGUACAGGUCUUGCCGAUUAUUCAGAACUUUUCCUGGGUGUAUUCAGGGAUGCGUCUCUGUCUUCCAAGCCCUUUCCUUGGCUCUGAGCAGGACGCUUAGGAGAGGCUCCACACCGACCCAAGCAGGCAUGAUGUGGUGCGGGAGGGACUCUGUGCUGGCAGGGAACCCCGCUACACUGAGGCCAAGCAAAAGAGUGGCAGGCUGGCAUUUAGUUUGGAGAUCAGGGAGUCAUGUGCACAUCUGAACACACGCCAUGCCCCAGAAGCCUUUUGCAGACGUUUGCUUACGAAGAAAUAGCAUCAGGAAGUGGGCACCAGUGGGCCAUUUUGCCUCAUGCUCAGCUUCUGUUGCUCGGUCUCUGGCACUGCCUCUGCACACCCACCCAGUCCUCCAAGAAUGGCCAGUAAUGCUUUGAAAGACCCCUGGUGAGGGAGCCCCUCUUCUGCCUCCUCUGGCCCCAGAGCAAUCAGCAGCGCCGGAGGGAAAGGAAAGGCGCGGAUCUCAUGGGGAGAGUUUUCAGCACUGGCCUCAGUCUUCCUCGGCCCCGUUCCCCUGGUGUUUCCAUUAGAGUGCCCGGGUGCCCUCCAGUGGUGGGCAAACUCCCGGAGGUUUGUCCCCUUGUCCGCCAAUCUGCCAAUGAUUGGUGGGAAGUAGCAGGCCCCCAGAGGUCACCUGCUACUGGCAGGCACCCCAGGAACACGCCUGGCAUGCGCUCCAGGGAAUGUGAUGGUGAUGAUAAUAAUAACUGUGCUUAUAUUCUGCUCUUCUAGACAGAUUAGCGCCCCACGCAGAGUAGUGAAAAAGUUCAUGUUAUUAUUGUCCCCACAAUACAGCUGGGGAGCUGGGGCUGCGAGGAGAGGUCACUCCUGAACAUCGUCGUGCCGGCCGCGGGAGCGCUCCUGUGUUCGGCGGAAUAAUGUCAUUUUGGCGAGUGAUGUCAUCACGAAGAAGCAGCACGCUGCCGGAAGCAGCCUGCAGCGUCUCCUGAAAUGGUGCUUCUGGGAGCGAGGACGCCCCAGGAAGCACAGCAGGGAGUGGGAGGUCUGCCGCAGGAGAGGGGAACGCACUCAACACACACACACACACACCCCGCCACCCAAGGAGCUUGCCAGUAGGAUCCAAGCCAGAAGUCCAUCAGCAGGAGCAGCUUGGUUCCUGAGACAGCCUUAUCUGAGACGGCUCACCACAGCGGCCUUGGGACAGCUCCUUACUUUCACUUUCCCACCUUCUGUACCAGCUGGGGGGUGGUUUAGAGGGUUUGAUAUACUGUAGCAAGCCCCCAACACGUCAUUCUCAACAAGAGAUCUAUGUACAGCCAGAAGCUUGCUUUAGCCUUUGGAUAACCUAUGGACACUUGUACUUUCUGAAUAUAUAAACUCUCAAUAAAGAACCUUUGACUCAA